UAGAAUGAAGUUCGCCGGAUAGAAUAUUUAGCUGUUAACUAAAAUAUUGCGGGAUCGAGGCCCGCCAUUCUAG
RNAcentral lists this transfer RNA (73 nucleotides) under Amolops loloensis (rufous-spotted torrent frog). Its description in RNAcentral is "tRNA-Asn". It matches the Rfam family "tRNA". From Rfam's summary of the family: Transfer RNA (tRNA) molecules are approximately 80 nucleotides in length. Their secondary structure includes four short double-helical elements and three loops (D, anti-codon, and T loops). The record is from RNAcentral. Lineage: Eukaryota; Metazoa; Chordata; Amphibia; Anura; Ranidae.